RNAcentral lists this ribosomal RNA (358 nucleotides) under uncultured eukaryote. RNAcentral's name for it is "SSU rRNA". It matches the Rfam family "Eukaryotic small subunit ribosomal RNA", at positions 82 to 482 of the family's 1831-position model. The record is from RNAcentral.
UAAAACUGCGAAUGGCUCAUUAAAACAGUUAUAGUUUAUUUGAUACAACAAAUGGAUAACUGUAGAAAAACUAGAGCUAAUACAUGCCGAAGCCGCAAGGUUGUAUUUAUUAGAUAUACCCAGUAGGGGAUUCAUAAUAACUAUGCAAAUCGUAACUUUGUUACGAUAAAUCAUUCAAGUUUCUGCCCUAUCAGCUUUCGAUGGUAGUGUAUUGGACUACCAUGGCUUUCACGGGUAACGGAGAAUUAGGGUUCGAUUCCGGAGAAGGAGCCUGAGAAACGGCUACUACAUCUAAGGAAGGCAGCAGGCGCGUAAAUUACCCAAUCCUGACUCAGGGAGGUAGUGACAAGAUAUAACG